CUGAGCUACAAUCAUCCAGGAGACUCAGGAGGGAAGCUGUUGGUUGCUGGACUGGAGGAUCCACACUGGAGACUGGACACACUCAGGAUGGACCAUGGUGGAGAGCACAGGGUAAAGAAGUAUUUCUGUGAACUCACACUGGACACAAAC
Long non-coding RNA from Scomber japonicus (chub mackerel), 150 nucleotides. RefSeq lists it as uncharacterized. Lineage: Eukaryota; Metazoa; Chordata; Actinopteri; Scombriformes; Scombridae. The transcript is spliced from 3 exons. The record is from RefSeq and is a predicted model, not a curated record.